RNAcentral lists this ribosomal RNA (119 nucleotides) under Pteropus alecto (black flying fox). RNAcentral also lists the same sequence under 1 other name. The record is from RNAcentral. Lineage: Eukaryota; Metazoa; Chordata; Mammalia; Chiroptera; Pteropodidae.
GUCUAUGGCCAUGACACUCUGAACAAGCCCGAUCCCAUCUGAUCUUGGAAGCUAAGCAGGAUCAGACCUGGUUAGUACUUGGGUGGGAGACCACCUAGGAAGACCAGGUACUGUAGGUA